CAAUGUGUCAUAUUAGAACUGUCCUCUUCACCCUUGACUUACCCUGAGGGUGUGUUUGUAAUCCUCACCAUAGAACCACUUGCUUAUUGCUUUUGAAAUAGCUCUUUGAAAGGCUGGUUUGCAAAUGUACUCUUGUAUUCGUGAGGGGAUGUUUCCCUGGAAUAAUGAGAAAUCUCUCUGUCCUGCCUUUAUAGAAAAAAAAUGCAUCCGCUCCCGAUUCGUUCAAGUAGGAGAAGCUUGGAACUGCACAAAACUUGCCUUUCUGAGGCUCACGGGGACUAUAAACGUAAGACUCCAUCAGAAGCUAACAGCAGCAGGAAAUGGCAAGGUGAGUUACAGGGGUGUGGGAGAGGCUGAGACCAGAUUGUUAGGCAGUUAGGAAUUGUGAUGUUUCUUCAAGAGCAAAUGAAGUUGUGAAAAAAAGUUGUGACUGGUGUACCAAAAAUUUUUGGGGAGAGGGAGAGAGAGAGAUUCCCUUGAUUCCCCAACAGCUUGGAGCUGGCCAGAUACUAGAGAGGGUAGCCUUCCAAGUGAGGGUCUGAAUGUAAAUGUCAUACCAGCUUGGAGCAGGAGUUCCUGGACAAAGCCUACUUAGCCCUGGUUGGCAAGGGUAUUUGGGAGUUGUCGAGAGCAUCAGGACUGUGAGAAGGAUCAAAGAACAACACGCAGAACGGGCAGUUCUGGAGAAUGACUGGGCUGAUGAGAAAUAUGUGAAUGAAAAGACUAAAGGGGAGCACAACCACUUCCUGGCUGUUUAAGUUUUCCUUCCUUCCUUCCUUCCUUCUUCCUUCCUUUGGUUUUUCGAGAC
Molecule: long non-coding RNA, 808 nt
Filed under: Mus pahari (shrew mouse)
Lineage: Eukaryota; Metazoa; Chordata; Mammalia; Rodentia; Muridae
Description: lncRNA (MGP_PahariEiJ_G0004611.1)
Source: RNAcentral